RNAcentral lists this ribosomal RNA (440 nucleotides) under uncultured bacterium. Its description in RNAcentral is "partial 16S ribosomal RNA". It matches the Rfam family "Bacterial small subunit ribosomal RNA", at positions 338 to 795 of the family's 1533-position model. The record is from RNAcentral.
CCUACGGGAGGCAGCAGUGGGGAAUAUUGCACAAUGGGGGAAACCCUGAUGCAGCGACGCCGCGUGAGUGAAGAAGUAAUUCGUUACGGAAAGCUCUAUCAGCAGGGAAGCAAAUGACGGUACCUGAGUCAGAAGCCCCGGCGAACUACGUGCCAGCAGCCGCGGUAAUACGUAGGGGGCAAGCGUUAUCCGGAUUUACUGGGUGUAAAGGGAGCGUAGACGGUGCGCCAAGUCUGGAGGGAAAUGCCGCAGCUUAACUGCGGAACUGCUGUGGAAACUGGCGAACUAGAGUGCGGGAGGGGUAAGCGGAAUGCCUGGUGUAGCGGUGAAAUGCGUAGAUAUUAGGAAGAACCCCGAUUGCGAAGGCAGCUUACUAAACUGUGACUGACAUUGAUGCUCGAAAGUGUGGGUAUCAAACAGGAUUAGAUACCCGAGUAGUC